AGCCGCCGCCAGGUCAGGCUCAACUAUGGGUGGGGGGGCGCGUGAUCACAGACCUGGUGUGUGAGGCGACUGGAAAGACGGGUCACCCGACCAGCACACGCCCUAUGAGAGGAGAGAGAUACAGUGUGGCAUCUCCCAGUCAUGUGAGGGGCCCCGCUGGCAGGUCACAUUUCUGAAGCAUCUUGGUUCUCACCUAUUGUGGCUCCACCAUCCUCGCAACGCUGAUGCAAAAUGAGCCACCGCUGCUGCUGCUUACUUUAUCCCAGGCAUCGCAAAACUAAUAGGAUGUGGCUUUUACUAGCCACGUUUACAGGAGAUGGAGUUCUGGAGGAGGAAAUACAAGCCCCAGCCAAAGGUGGUCUGAUGGAUACAAAUGCCAGUCUGGGUCUGGCCUCACACAGGACUGACCUGAGCCCGGUUUAGGCUUCAGGGACCUGUUCUGGAAGAUGUUUCUU
Molecule: long non-coding RNA, 455 nt
Organism: Eptesicus fuscus (big brown bat)
Lineage: Eukaryota; Metazoa; Chordata; Mammalia; Chiroptera; Vespertilionidae
Exons: 2
Source: RefSeq, a predicted model, not a curated record